Molecule: ribosomal RNA, 446 nt
Filed under: uncultured bacterium
Lineage: Bacteria
Description: bacterial SSU rRNA
Rfam family: Bacterial small subunit ribosomal RNA
Source: RNAcentral
GACCAGACUCCUACGGGAGGCAGCAGUGGGGAAUAUUGCACAAUGGGGGAAACCCUGAUGCAGCGACGCCGCGUGAGCGAUGAAGUAUUUCGGUAUGUAAAGCUCUAUCAGCAGGGAAGAAAAUGACGGUACCUGACUAAGAAGCCCCGGCUAACUACGUGCCAGCAGCCGCGGUAAUACGUAGGGGGCAAGCGUUAUCCGGAUUUACUGGGUGUAAAGGGAGCGUAGACGGCUGUGCAAGCCAGAUGUGAAAGCCCGGGGCGCAACCCCGGGACUGCAUUUGGAACUGUGUGGCUGGAGUGUCGGAGAGGCAGGCGGAAUUCCUAGUGUAGCAGUGAAAUGCGUAGAUAUUAGGAGGAACACCAGUGGCGAAGGCGGCCUGCUGGACGAUGACUGACGUUGAGGCUCGAAAGCGUGGGGAGCAAACAGGAUUAGAUACCCCAGUA